Molecule: long non-coding RNA, 308 nt
Organism: Mus musculus (house mouse)
Lineage: Eukaryota; Metazoa; Chordata; Mammalia; Rodentia; Muridae
Product: predicted gene, 40738
Exons: 3
Source: RefSeq, a predicted model, not a curated record
CUCUGCAUGUUGACCAGUGGGGAAUCUCUGUGUUAGCCACCAGACACUGCUACAAACCCUUUGCUGAAGAGAACUGAGAGCUGCAUUAAUCUAUGGGAAGAGAGGCCCUUUGAGGAGUCAGAGGGAACAGGACAACAUUGUCUAAACUCUUCUUUGAGUUCUGCCAGACAGCUGCUCUGCUAACAUCGCCAUCAUUGAAAAGGAAGAAGAACAACACACAGAGCAGGCAAAGAAUAAAGCCGUGUGAAAGGUUUGGAAUUGCCCACCAAAAUGAGUUUGGAGGCAAUUCAAAGGCAUACACAUCUGCU